GCUAAUAAAAGACAGCCAUACACCUCCCUUUGGUCACAGGCCAUGAGAAGAUGCUUUCAUUCCAGAGGCCUCAGGCUUCCAGAAACUUCCCCAGCCCCUGGUGCCAUGGGGGUCACUACCUCUGGAGAGUGAUCAGGUCACCCUUUGGGCAUCAUACUUGACACCGCUACUUCCAGCACACAUCUGUUCUUUGGAUGACACCAGGAUGACCUUCAAGUCACAAGAUGGUGGGGGAACCCUAAGACAGAAGAGACUAAUGUCUUAGAGCAGCCAUUGGAGGAAAGCUACCCAGGAGAGCCACGGGUCAGGAACGUGGACAUUCAACUGUGUGUGAGGGAGAAACAUACAUCAACGUUUAAAUAUACAAAAGAAGUAGAGAGCAUAAUAUAAUAACUCAG
RNAcentral lists this long non-coding RNA (398 nucleotides) under Chinchilla lanigera (long-tailed chinchilla). Its description in RNAcentral is "lncRNA (ENSCLAG00000023304.1)". The record is from RNAcentral. Lineage: Eukaryota; Metazoa; Chordata; Mammalia; Rodentia; Chinchillidae.